This is an RNA transcript of Trifolium pratense (red clover), 4070 nucleotides long. It is a transcript of the gene named histone-lysine N-methyltransferase SUVR3, with no coding region annotated. The record is from RefSeq and is a predicted model, not a curated record. Lineage: Eukaryota; Viridiplantae; Streptophyta; Magnoliopsida; Fabales; Fabaceae. The transcript has 7 exons.
UUCAAUAUGUGCUGCUGCUAUCUCUCUCUCUACUAUUUCUUUUUCAUUUUUUUUAUUCCUUAUUCUCUCCUCUUUCUUCCUCAUGCUCAUAGAUCUAAAACAUUCAUGGAGUUUAAAUGUUCGAAGAUGGCCAACAAAGGGUUAGAAUACUCAGAUCUGAAAGGAAAGUGAAGAAAUAAAAAAAAAUUUGCACUGCGUUUUUUGGACCAGACGAUUUUGGGAAACCGAUUCCGAUUAUCUAGUUAGAGUGGUUCCUUCUAGUUCUUACGAGCUCAUUUUUUUUUUAUCAAUUUUUAAGGCAAGCACUUUUUUUUUUUUUUUUUUUUUAUCAAUUUUUAAGACAAGCGGUUUUAAUAAUCAGACCAAACCAAAUUAGAUCACGAUUCACGGUUUAACCCGUUUAACCAGCCGGUUUGGUUUUAAAAACAUUGGUAGUAAAUAGUAGUAACCCAUUUUUUUUAUUACAAUGAGCUGAAGAUCAAACUCAAUAUCUAAAACAUACUACCCAAAUCUUUCGUGAUGAGAUGAAACCUGAUCGCUGGGUAAUAACCCAAUUUCUCAAUAUUCACAUUCCACUCUCUUUACUCCAUUCAAAACACUAUACUUCCCAUUUCCUCGUCUUCGCGACUGAGAAACACAAAUGAAGAUUCCAAAGACGAUGACGAUGGAUGACAGUAGCAGCAAUAAUCCAAACUCUUCAUCUUUUCUAAUCCAAAACUCUGACCUAAUUCUUCCAUGGCUAACCCAUCAACAACUCGCUAAUCUCUCCUUAACUUGCAAAUCUCUCCACAAUCUCACCAAAACCAUAACCCUAAUUCGCAUCUCCGAUGCUUCUAGAACCUUCGAGAAUUUCCCAAUCCCAUUCCACAACAACAAUCACAAUUUCCACAAUCAUACUUAUUCUUACUUUCUCUACACACCUUCACUCAUUCUCUCUCAUAAUCUCCCUCGUUAUCAACCAUGGGGAUGGAAGGUUAGUUCUGUAAUUUCACCAAUUCCGGUUAAAACGGUCGAUGAAUCGGAAUCAGUGAGUUUUGUUGAUGUGGUUGGGUGUGAGUGUGGUGAGGUUUGUGAUGAUGAUGAUGGGUGUUUGUGUUUUGAUGGUGGGGACAGUGAUGUUGGAAGAGAGUGUGGGGUGGGUUGUUCUUGUGGGAGGGAGUGUGGGAACAGAGUGAGUCAAAAUGGUGUUAGGGUUAGGGUUAAGAUUGUUAGGUGUGAAGGGAAAGGGUGGGGUUUGUUUGCUGAUCAAGUGAUUGCCAAAGGAGAGUUUUUGUUUCAAUAUGCAGGUGAACUAUUGACAACCAAGGAAGCACAGAGGAGACAACAAUAUUAUGAUGAACUGUCAUCACGCGGUCGUUUCUCUGCCGCUCUUUUAGUUGUAAGAGAACAUCUUCCAUCUGGAAAGGCAUGUUUGCGAUUGAACAUAGAUGCAACAAAAAUUGGAAACGUUGCACGGUUUGUAAAUCAUUCGUGUGAUGGUGGUAAUUUAAGCACAAAGCUAAUUAGAAGUUCAGGAUCUUUGUUCCCCCGCCUUUGCUUCUUUGCUUUGAAAGAUAUCCAAAAAGACGAAGAGCUUACUUUCAGCUAUGGAGAAAUCAGGAAAAGGUCCAACGGGUUGCCAUGCUACUGCAACAGCCCUUCUUGCUUUGGAACAUUGCCCUCUGAAGACACUUGAAAGUUGAAACAUUUAUCUUCCUCAUAAUGAGAGAACCAGGAGUUUUGAAAAGGCUCUAAGCUGUGUGAUGAGGGUGCCGUCUCCAUUGUGGGGUCAAAACCAGGGUUGAAGUUGUUCAUGUUCAUGAGGUGUUGGUGCAACCAUAUGAAUUGUUGGAAUAUACUGGCUGCACUGCUACGUUGAAGUUUGGCUGAUGUAACAUCUGAGGCUGCUGCUGGGGUGUUGUUUGAAGAGCAUUUUCACAUGUAAAUCCUCUUUUCAUCAGCUCAGUUUCCAUCAUUGAGAUCUCCGCUUUUGCUGCCACCUGGAUUGCCCCCAUAAGGUAAGUUAUUCAAUUUUCAUACAUGAAUAAAAAGUUUUGUGCUUCUUUUUGUUUAUAAUAUUUACUUUUUACCUUUAUAUUCUGUUUUUUGUUGAAAAGUAAUUAAAUGGAGGUUAAUUUAAUCUAGGCAUUCAAUUUUUUUUAUUGCUUUCAUCUAAAGUGAAUAUUCGUUUUAAAGAGUAAAAUAAGACAUUUCCAUUGUUGAUGAGAAAAUUAGUAGGUGAUAUUUCAAGACAUUUAUGACUUAUUAUGUAUGUAUAUGCAAUAUCAUUUAUGUUACUUACAAAUUUUAAAAUGUCUUAUUAGUUAUUUUAUUUUCAAAAGUGCACUGUUUACUUUUGUAGCACCGACACUUUUGAUGGAAAGUGAAGUGUCUGGUAUCCAACACCAACACCAACACAAUACUGACACAUUCUUCUUCCUCAUAAUGAGAGAACCAGGAGUUUUGAAAAGGCUCUAAGCUGUUUGAUGAGGGUGCCGUCUCCAUUGUGAGGUCAAAACCAGGGUUGAAGUUGUUCAUGUUCAUGAGGUUGUUGGUGGAAGCAUGAGUUGUUGGCAUAUGCUGGCUGCACUGCUAUGUUGAAGUUUGGCUGCUGUAGCAUCUGAUGCUGCUGCUGGGGUGUGGUUUGAAGAGCAUUUGCACAAGUAAAUCCUCUGUUCAUCAGCUCAGUUUGCAUCAUUGAGACCUCUGCUUGCAUUGCUGCCACCUGGAUGGCCAUAAGUCGUCUUCCUCAUAAUGUGACAAUCUGGAGUUUGAAAAGGCGCUAAGCUGUGCAACGAAGGUGCCGUCUCCAUUGUGAGGUCAAAAACCAGGGUUGAAGUUGUUCAUGUCCAUGAAAUUGUUGGCGGAAGCAGAUGAGUUGUUGGAGUAUGCUGGCUGAACAGAUACAUUGAAGUUUGGCCUCUGUAGCAUUUGAUGCUGGUGUGUGGUUCGAAGAGCACUUGCAUAUGCAUAUCUGCGAUUCAUCAGCUGAGAUUGCAUCAUUGAGACCUCUGCUUCCAUUGCUGCCACCUGGAUUGGCCUUAAAUGAUCUUCCUCAAAAUGAGAGAACCAAGAGUUUUGAAAAGGCUCUAAGCCGUGUGAUGAGGGUGCCGUCUCCAUUGUGAGGUCAAAACCAGGGUUGAAGUUGUUCAUGUUCAUGAAAUUGUUGGUGGCAGCAUAUGAAUUGUUGGAAUAUGCUGGCUGAACGUUGAAGUUUGGCUGCUGUAGCGUCUGAUGCUGCUCCUGAUGUGUAGUUUGAAGAGCAUUUGCACCUGCAAAUCUUCUGUUUAUCAGCUCAGUUUGCAUGAUUGAGACCUCUGCUUGCAUUGCUGCCACCUGGAUUCGCCAUAAGGUGAACUAUUGAAAAACCAAGGAAGCACAAACGAGACAACAAAUUAUGAUGAAUGGGCAUCGCGUGCAAGAUUCUCUUCUGCUAUUUUAGUUGUAAGGGAACACCUCCCCUCAGGAAAGGCAUGUUUGAGAUUGAACAUAGACGCGACAAGAGUAGGAAACAUGCACGGUUUGUAAAUCAUUCAUGUGAUGGUAAGCAUAAAGUUAAUUAGAAGUUCAUGAGCUUUGCUCCCCCGCCUUUGCUUCUUUGCUUUGAAAUUGAAAGAUAUCCAAAAAAUGAAGCUUAUUUUCAGCUAUGGAGAAAUCAAGAAAAAGUCCAACAAGUUGCCAUGCUACUGCGACAGCCCUUUUUGCCUUGUAACAUUGCCCUCAGGAGUCACUUGAAAGUUGAAAAAUAUAGGACUUUUUAUUUUAGUUUUAAUGAGAUGUGACGGGAUCCUUCAUUUGGGGGUCGAUAUCGUUGUGUAUUAGGAAAGAGUAGUUUUCAUGAAUUUGACAAUAGUUCAUAGGCAUUGUAGCAGCAGCUAUGUAACACCGAAACUGCAUAUUGAAUGUGUGUCUGGUAUACAAAUCUGACAAGACACUGGCAUUUUUGGCUACAUUCAAUCACUUUUAUUUUCUCUAAUUUUGGUGUCUGUGUCAGAACCCUGUGUGUGUUUGUGCUUGAUAGAGAAACAGUCUCAUUAAUAUCUAAUAACAGUUGGAACAAUGUUAUUUAACUACUAAUCUCUUUAUGUCUA